This 657-nucleotide ribosomal RNA is filed under the name uncultured Omnitrophica bacterium. Its description in RNAcentral is "bacterial SSU rRNA". It matches the Rfam family "Bacterial small subunit ribosomal RNA", at positions 224 to 873 of the family's 1533-position model. The record is from RNAcentral. Lineage: Bacteria; Pseudomonadati; Candidatus Omnitrophota.
GAUGAGCUCGCGUCCUAUCAGCUUGUUGUUGGGGUAAUGGCCUACCAAGGCGAAGACGGGUAGCUGGUCUGAGAGGAUGGUCAGCCACAUUGGGACUGAGACACUGCCCAGACUCCUACGGGAGGCUGCAGUCGAGAAUCUUUAGCAAUGGGCGCAAGCCUGACUAUGCGACGUCGCGUGAGGGAUGAAGGCCUUCGGGUUGUAAACCUCUUUCGAUUAGGAAGAAUACUCUUGGUACUAAUAGUAUCAAGAAAUGACGUUACUAAGAGAAGAAGCCACGGCCAACUCCGUGCCAGCAGCCGCGGUAAUACGGAGGUGGCAAGCGUUACUCGGAUUCAUUGGGUGUAAAGGGCAGGUAGGUGUCCUGGCAAGUAGGAGGUGAAAUCCUUCGACUCAAUCGAAGAACUGCCUUCUAAACUGCUAGGAUUGGGUGUGAGAGAGGAAAGUGGAAUUCUCGGUGUAAGGGUGAAAUCUGUAGAUAUCGAGAGGAACACCAGUAGCGAAGGCGACUUUCUGGAUCACUACUGACACUGAGCUGCGAAAGCUAGGGGAGCAAACAGGAUUAGAUACCCUGGUAGUCCUAGCCGUAAACGAUGAGUACUUGGUGUCUUGGGUUAGACCAAGGUGCUCGAUAGUUCACACAUUAAGUACUCCACC